RNAcentral lists this small nuclear RNA (71 nucleotides) under Panthera tigris altaica (Amur tiger). The record is from RNAcentral. Lineage: Eukaryota; Metazoa; Chordata; Mammalia; Carnivora; Felidae.
GAUUACAGAGAAGAUUAGCAUAGCCCCUGCGCAAGGAUGACACGCAAAUUUGUGAAGCGUUCCAUAUUUUU